GCUCCCAAAGUGCUGGGAUUGCAGGCAUGAGCCACCAUACCCAGCCUUAAUAUUUAAUUUUACACAGAGCAAAAAUAAGUGAGGAAUUUAAGAAUCUUUACUGGGAUCUUUUCUUUCUUUCUUUUUAAGAGCUGGGGUUUCACCAUCUUGCCCAGACUGGUCUCAAAGCCCUGGGCUCAAGCAAUCUUUCCUUCUUGGCCUCCCAGUGUCCUGGGAUUACAGGCAUGAAUCACUCCGCCCAGCUGGAUUUUUCAGUUAAGAACACCGUUGGUGAUCUUAGGUAGAUUAGAACCAGAGAAGCAUUAGAAACAAAAGCCAAAUUCAGCCCACCAACAAAUGAGGAAUCAGAGAAGGAAAGGAAUCAGAGAAGGUGAUUGUCCACAGACUGACAUUUGGGAACCAAAUAUGGUAGAGGAGUCUUUCAAGAAGUUCGAACCAUAAUGCUUGGGACAGAGGAGUUGAAAGCAGACCACUAUAUGGAAAAUUUGUUUUUAAGCUUCUAGAGGCUACCCACAUUCCUGGGCUAAUGGCCCCUUCCUACAUCUUCAAAGCCAGCAGUGGUGGGCUGAGUCUUUCUCCUGGUAUCAUCUCUUCAUUCUCUAUCUCCCUCUCCCAAUUUUAAGGACCUCUGUGAUUAUAUUGGGCACCUGGAUAUUGCAGGAUACGCUCUCUAUUUUAAGGCUAUGCUCCGUAAAGAGAGUGCCUCCUCUAGAAUCACAAGACCUAAGCAUGAAUCUUCCUUUGAAGGAUAAAAUGGAAGGAAAAAAACUGGAUGAGGAAAAGAAGAGUGGGGAAUAGAAAGAGAGAGAGAGAGAAAGAUGGAUAAAUUUUUAAAGUUACUAUAAUAAAAAUCUUCUACAACGAAACUAUAAUUGUUGAUCAGCAAAUGUGAACUAAUCCUCCUCCU
Molecule: long non-coding RNA, 907 nt
Filed under: Homo sapiens (human)
Lineage: Eukaryota; Metazoa; Chordata; Mammalia; Primates; Hominidae
Description: HSALNT0372915
Source: RNAcentral